ACCAGGGCAAUCAAAUGGGGAGAGUUAAAGAGAAAAUCAAAGGCUGAGAAGAAGUUGGCAAUCACUGUUUUCAGCUUUCCCCCAGACAAAGGCAAUGUCGGAACUGCUGCAUACUUGAAUGUCUUUGCUUCCAUAUACUCUGUUCUCAAAGAUCUCAAGAAAGAUGGCUACAACGUUGAGGGGCUACCUGAAACUUCUGCUGAACUGAUUGAAGAAGUAAUUCAUGACAAAGAAGCUCAGUUCAG
This 245-nucleotide unclassified non-coding RNA is filed under the name Hevea brasiliensis (rubber tree). Lineage: Eukaryota; Viridiplantae; Streptophyta; Magnoliopsida; Malpighiales; Euphorbiaceae. The record is from RNAcentral.